UCACGCCUCCGGGAGAGUUUGAUUUGAGUCGGCAACGAUGGCAUUGUCGCAGUGGAAGGAAGCUAUCCUCGAAGGAAUUUUCACGGAGAUCGAGCAAGGACUCGUGGAGGAGAAGAAUCUCGAGCGGUUAGAGAAUCUAGUUGAAAUUCUCCACAAAGAAGGCUCGAAAGUCCCCCAAUCAGUGAAGGAAUCGUACUGUCAAGUAGCUCUAGAAUGUACAGCGAGGUGUCUCACUAACGAGAGAGACGCAAAAGAGGCUUACACUGAAGCAAUCAGAUCGAUUUGGCUCCGUAGGGUUAUGCCUCUGUGCGAUAAGGUCAGUUGCUUGGUUACUCGUGACCUCUUGUAUAGCUGUAAACGAUUAUGGACGGCUCAUGGUGAAGCUAAGGCUUGUGAAGCUCUGAUUGAUGAGAAUACGAGAGAGAAAGCUUUGGUUUCUUUGAGGAAAGUUGUUUCUGAGCUGCAUCCCAACAUUGAUUGUGCCUAUGGUGAGAGAGAUGAAUCUGAAGAGUCUAGUAAAGAAACAGGAGAGACAGAGCCAAUGGAGGAAGACGAAGGGAGACUCUCAGAUAUUGAAAAGGAAGGACCUUCUUGUGCGUUAGAAGGUGAAUCUCCGCCACGUCGGAUGAAGACCAUUUCCUCUGCAGUUGUUGCCAAGGCGCUCGAAGAGCUUAGAGCUUCUAAGAUCGACCUGAUGAAUGCCUUGGCAGAAGCAGGAGGACCUUCAAAUUGGAAGUUUGCUUCGACUACACAGCAAGAGAAUGAUGUUGCUGAUCCUCCUGCAGCAAACAAGCCUAGCUUGAUGGAGAGAAGAGCCACAGCACAGACUUAUGAGUGGGAAGACUCAAUUGAUGAUGAUUCAGAUGGAGAAAAUGGUGAAGGGGAUAAUGAACCAAGAGGUAAAAGGAUUGUGGUGUCUCCUUGGAAAAGAAACCUAGUUGGUGGUAGAAGGCCGAAGAUUCCUUGGAGUACUGCAGAAACGCUGGCCGUUAUGAAAGGCUAUGAAAAGUAUGGUGCAAACUGGAAGCGGAUCAAAGAUGAGUGUGAUAUUCUAGUGCGCAGAACUAAUGGUGAUAUUAAAGAUAAACAUCGAGUUGAGAUGAGACGUCUAGAGCGCCAUCCUUUGAGUAGUUGUGGAUCUGUGAGCAAAUGUAUAAUACAAAAUAUGUUCUCUGGAUUCUCAUGAAAGACUAUCGACUUCAGUACUUUACCAUGUGGUGACGCUGCUCAUGCUAUAAAAGGGAAUUGAGAAAAGACAUCAGACCUCUUUUGCGUUGACGAUUAACAAAAUGCUGAACAAAGAUGUGUUGUGGCAUCUAUGGAAUGUAAAAAAAAAAGGGUAACAUUUUGUCGCCUUGUCUUUAAACCCUUGAGAAUUUGUACAUAUGGUGAUGAUAAUAUCUAGUGACGCUGCUUGUUUAAGUAAACUAGGUUCCUUGAUCAAUCUAGGAGCAGUUCAUUUCGGUU
RNA transcript from Brassica oleracea var. oleracea, 1467 nucleotides. RefSeq lists it as uncharacterized. NCBI's taxonomy places the organism in Eukaryota, Viridiplantae, Streptophyta, Magnoliopsida, Brassicales, Brassicaceae. The transcript has 7 exons. The record is from RefSeq and is a predicted model, not a curated record.